AGCGAACGCUGGCGGCAGGCUUAACACAUGCCAGUCGAGCGGGCAUCCUUGUGGUGUCAGCGGCAGACGGGUGAGUAACGCGUGGGAACGUGCCCUUCGGUUCGGAAUAACUCAGGGAAACUUGAGCUAAUACCGGAUACGUGCGAGAGCAGAAAGGUUUAUCUGCCGAAGGAUCGGCCCGCGUCUGAUUAGCUAGUUGGUGAGGUUAUGGCUCACCAAGGCGACGAUCAGUAGCUGGUCUGAGAGGAUGAUCAGCCACACUGGGACUGAGACACGGCCCAGACUCCUACGGGAGGCAGCAGUGGGGAAUAUUGGACAAUGGGGGCAACCCUGAUCCAGCCAUGCCGCGUGAGUGAUGACGGCCUUAGGGUUGUAAAGCUCUUUUCUGCGGGACGAUAAUGACGGUACCGGAGGAAUAAGCCCCGGCUAACUUCGUG
Molecule: ribosomal RNA, 437 nt
Filed under: uncultured bacterium
Lineage: Bacteria
Description: partial 16S ribosomal RNA
Rfam family: Bacterial small subunit ribosomal RNA
Source: RNAcentral